UGCAUGCCAAGACAAGCCUGUGAAUUUAUAUGGCUAAAUAAAAUAAGUCAGUGAAAUGAAAAAAAUUCCUAUCUUUCUGACUAUGCUUUGUUUACCAAGUGACCCAACUUUUAGUAUAAGUAGAGGUGAAAGAGUUACAAGUACUUGACCAGUACGUAACCAGCUAUAGAAAACAAGAGACCAUGGCCAGAGGGAAUACAACUGUGACUUGUCUCAUGUGGCUUUCACUGGUUUUAUCAAUUGCUUUGUGCGCGAAUGCAACGGCCGGUGCUCGCCAGGGAACAUUCCAACAAGCCGUUUAUCCCCAAGGCUGCCGUUGCUGCUUUUUCGUUGGGAAACAGUUCAUGCUUCGAUGUGGCAAAGUAUGUUGCGGUGAUGAUUGUUGUUUUUAGAAACGAGACACCAAUUUCUCCCUACUCCCAAUUGCAUGUACUCCAAAAAAUACUGAAAUUGGACUGCUGUGAUAAUAAUUAAUGUAAUAUGUUAGGUCUGAAUUGUCAUUCCCCCAGAAUGCACAUCCAUAUUCGUAUGUUUUCCUCAAUAAGAAUGUAAACCUUACUCUACAUUCUUUACAAUCAACAAAUAAAGUUUUAUCUUUG
Molecule: long non-coding RNA, 599 nt
Organism: Hibiscus syriacus
Lineage: Eukaryota; Viridiplantae; Streptophyta; Magnoliopsida; Malvales; Malvaceae
Exons: 2
Source: RefSeq, a predicted model, not a curated record